UGGGGAAUUUUGGACAAUGGGGGCAACCCUGAUCCAGCCAUGCCGCGUGAAGGAUGAAGUAUUUCGGUAUGUAAACUUCGAAAGAAUAGGAAGAAUAAAUGACGGUACUAUUUAUAAGGUCCGGCUAACUACGUGCCAGCAGCCGCGGUAAUACGUAGGGACCAAGCGUUGUUCGGAUUUACUGGGCGUAAAGGGCGCGUAGGCGGCAUGACAAGUCACUUGUGAAAUCUCUGGGCUUAACCCAGAACGGCCAAGUGAUACUGUCGCGCUAGAGUGCAGAAGGGGCAAUCGGAAUUCUUGGUGUAGCGGUGAAAUGCGUAGAUAUCAAGAGGAACACCUGAGGUGAAGACGGGUUGCUGGGCUGACACUGACGCUGAGGCGCGAAAGCCAGGGGGAGCAAACGGGAUUAGAUACCCUCGUAGUCCCUGAGCGGGCUGGCAAGGCGCAU
RNAcentral lists this ribosomal RNA (448 nucleotides) under uncultured bacterium. RNAcentral's name for it is "bacterial SSU rRNA". It matches the Rfam family "Bacterial small subunit ribosomal RNA", at positions 355 to 825 of the family's 1533-position model. The record is from RNAcentral.